Lactuca sativa (garden lettuce) is the source of this 1284-nucleotide long non-coding RNA. RefSeq lists it as uncharacterized. The record is from RefSeq and is a predicted model, not a curated record. NCBI's taxonomy places the organism in Eukaryota, Viridiplantae, Streptophyta, Magnoliopsida, Asterales, Asteraceae.
UUCAAAUACGCUUCAGCAAAUAUCUUAAAUAUCUUAAAUUCUGCAUAUAUUCACCUUUCUCUUCAUCUUCACCCAACUGAAUCGGCUCUUCAUCUUCACCCAAUUGAAUCAGUCAAUCCGAGAUUCAGUGGAGACUCAUUCAAAUUGGAAGAUAUUCGAUCUCUUUUUUUCCUCUAACUUUCUCACAUCGCCGUUUGCACGAACAAAAACUCUAGCAUUUGUCACCGCAUCCUACGUUGUCAGAUCACUGCCGCCUCCAUUUUUCUGAUACCUCAAGCGAUGAUUCUCACUAAGAUUCCGGUUUGUGAAACUACUAAAUUAAUUUUCUACUUUCCCUUUUAGACGGACGGGAAUCUAAACUCAAAGGUUUCUUAAUAAUAAAUAUGGCAUAGCCAAGCUUCAAGCAUGCUUUGUUGGAUUAUGAAGUUUUGAUGAUUCAAAUUCGUGCACAAUCCAAAGACAAAUUUCAUACUCCAGUGGUCCUAUAGGUAUAUAUAUAUCUUCAUCAUUUCUACUCAGUUGCUUUUUUUCUGCAACUUUUUGUAUAUACAUACUAAAUUGUCCAAUCUUUACUCUCUGUUUCAAAUAACAUUCCAAAUUCAACUUUGUAUUGAAGAUAGUGAGUCGAAACAGAGAAGGUGAUGCACAUAGAUGGCCUAAUAUGUGGGUCAUGUAGAUAGCAGACCUUGCUUACUGGUCAUAUUCCCUGUUUUAAUUCUAAUUUGUUUCCGGUUAAUUUAAUCAUUUAUAGGGAAGCAUUAAAAUCAUCUUUAUUUCUUGUGAUUUUAUAUUUUAUUUGAUGGUGCAGGGUUUACAGACCAUCAUUGCAAAAAUUAUAUUUUAAUGAGGUUUAUUAUAUAAUUGUUUGUUGAAGUAUUUUCUAAAGGCUACUUUGUUUUUACAUUAUUAUUCUCACAUUAUUAUAGAUUUUGUGAUCAGAUGUGUAUAUGUGAUUAAUAGAUGACACCCCAACAUUCACAUAGACAGAAGUACUUCUCCCACAAAGGUAAUAUUGUAUUAAAAGGAAAAAAAUAUAAGAUUUCAAAUACCUUUUAUUUAGUUUUCUAAAAUUAGGUUAUGUACUUUUACAAUAUUGGUGUGCUGCUCGCACUUUGGGCUCCAAUCUUUGGUAAAUUCAUGAUCUAUCUAACCGAUUUAAAAAUAAAUCAUUACUUAAUGAACUAUGAUGACAUUCAACCAAUUAGCACACAAUUAGUUAAGUUGAUUGUAUUACUUAUGUACCAGUUUUAAUUUGUUGAGGUUAAUGAAAAAUUAAACACACAA